AUACGGAUGGUGCGAGCGUUGUUCGGAAUUACUGGGCGUAAAGGGCGCGUAGGCGGCGAUGUAAGUCAAAUGUGAAAGUCCUCGGCUUAACCGGGGAAGUGCAUCUGAAACUGCAUUGCUUGAGUAUGGGAGAGGAAAGUGGAAUUCCCGGUGUAGAGGUGAAAUUCGUAGAGAUCGGGAGGAAUACCGGUGGCGAAGGCGACUUUCUGGACCAAUACUGACGCUGAGGCGCGAAAGCGUGGGGAGCGAACGGGAUUAGAAACCCUAGUAGUCC
RNAcentral lists this ribosomal RNA (274 nucleotides) under uncultured bacterium. RNAcentral describes it as "partial 16S ribosomal RNA". It matches the Rfam family "Bacterial small subunit ribosomal RNA", at positions 523 to 796 of the family's 1533-position model. The record is from RNAcentral.